RNAcentral lists this ribosomal RNA (587 nucleotides) under uncultured bacterium. RNAcentral's name for it is "bacterial SSU rRNA". It matches the Rfam family "Bacterial small subunit ribosomal RNA", at positions 338 to 916 of the family's 1533-position model. The record is from RNAcentral.
CCUACGGGAGGCAGCAGUGGGGAAUCUUCCGCAAUGGGCGCAAGCCUGACGGAGCAACGCCGCGUGAGUGAAGAAGGUCUUCGGAUCGUAAAGCUCUGUUGACGGGGACGAACGUGCGGAGUGCGAAUAGCGCUUUGUAAUGACGGUACCUGUCGAGGAAGCCACGGCUAACUACGUGCCAGCAGCCGCGGUAAUACGUAGGUCCCGAGCGUUGUCCGGAUUUAUUGGGCGUAAAGCGAGCGCAGGCGGUUUGAUAAGUCUGAAGUUAAAGGCUGUGGCUCAACCAUAGUUCGCUUUGGAAACUGUCAAACCUGAGUGCAGAAGGGGAGAGUGGAAUUCCAUGUGUAGCGGUGAAAUGCGUAGAUAUAUGGAGGAACACCGGUGGCGAAAGCGGCUCUCUGGUCUGUCACUGACGCUGAGGCUCGAAAGCGUGGGUAGCGAACAGGAUUAGAUACCCUGGUAGUCCACGCCGUAAACGAUGAGUGCUAGGUGUUAGGCCCUUUCCGGGGCUUAGUGCCGGAGCUAACGCAUUAAGCACUCCGCCUGGGGAGUACGACCGCAAGGUUGAAACUCAAAGGAAUUGACGG